This 393-nucleotide ribosomal RNA is filed under the name Tricoma sp. 70L05E15. RNAcentral's name for it is "bacterial SSU rRNA". It matches the Rfam family "Eukaryotic small subunit ribosomal RNA", at positions 40 to 434 of the family's 1831-position model. The record is from RNAcentral. Lineage: Eukaryota; Metazoa; Nematoda; Chromadorea; Desmoscolecida; Desmoscolecidae.
AAGAUUAAGCCAUGCAUGUCUAAGCACAAGCCGAAUAUGGUGAAGCCGCGAAUGGCUCAUUACAACAGCCUUUGUUUAUUUGAUCUUGAAAUCCUACUUGGAUAACUGUGGUAAUUCUAGAGCUAAUACACGCAAAAGAACGCGGAACGCAAGUUCCGAGUGCAUUUAUUAGUACAAGACCUUCCGAGCUUGCUCGUCCAAUGGUGAAUCUGAAUAAAUUAGCCGAUCGCAUGGUCUUUGCACCGGCGACGUAUCUUUCAAGUGUCUGCCCUAUCAACUUUCGUUGGUAGUUUAUGUGACUACCAUGGUUAUAACGGGUAACGGAGAAUAAGGGUUCGACUCCGGAGAAGCAGCCUGAGAAACGGCUACUACAUCCAAGGAAGGCAGCAGGCA